AUGCCAAAACAGCAUUCUUUAUGACAGAUGUAGCUGAGAUGUACCUGAAAGAAUUGAGGACAUUGCCAACCCUUACGACUAUCCAAUGAUCAGCCAGGGUGAAAUUACUGUAAAGAGCAUCAAUGACGUGGAGGAAUUCAUUGCCACUGAUGUAGGUUGACAACUGCAAUAUUAUUUUUAGUACCAUUUUUGAGGUGGUACAAAAAGUACAGUCUAUUCUUCCUGAAGUAAUGAGUUUUAUAUUGAGUGAUUUUAAUAAUGUGUCGCUGAAUAAAGCACUUACACACUAUUA
This is a long non-coding RNA of Cyprinus carpio (common carp), 292 nucleotides long. RefSeq lists it as uncharacterized. The transcript is spliced from 2 exons. The record is from RefSeq and is a predicted model, not a curated record. NCBI's taxonomy places the organism in Eukaryota, Metazoa, Chordata, Actinopteri, Cypriniformes, Cyprinidae.